Long non-coding RNA from Felis catus (domestic cat), 4791 nucleotides. RefSeq lists it as uncharacterized. The record is from RefSeq and is a predicted model, not a curated record. Lineage: Eukaryota; Metazoa; Chordata; Mammalia; Carnivora; Felidae. The transcript has 6 exons.
CCUGAUCCCCUGACCCUGGGAUCACCACCUGAGCCGAAAACGAGUUGGACACGAAAGCGAUGGAGCCACCCGGGUGCCCCUAAGAUGAAACUCGUGCAAGUACGUCUUACCCGGCGUCUGGGGCACUCAGGAGAGGGUGGUGCUUCCAACCAGGCGGAAUCUCGAAGCCUCACUGAAAGGGCCCGGGGCAGACGCAAGCGCGCCUGUCUUCUGCACCCACCAGAGGGCAGCAGGGAGCCGCGCCAGACCUAGGACACCACUCGGGUGGCCGUGCACCUUCCAGGAGACCCCUUUCCACGUGAGGGGCGGGUCUGCCACUGACCCACCGGGAACCCCUUCUCCCUCAGGUGUCUGUUCCUGUCAAAGAUGAGGACCCGGACCCAGAGCCCAGCCUUGACUGGUGAGGACGACACGGGAGCCAUGGGUACAUUGGCCGCAGGACCCUGCUAAAGACGCCCGGCGUGGACGUGUCGGAGCCGCGCUGUUACCGCGACGCGAACCCGGCCUCACCCCCGCACGCGCUCGGCCGCCUGGUAGCCAAGGAGGGGACGCGACCACACGGCACGGCCGCCACAGCUGUCCCUCCAGCCCGCCCUAGGGAGGUGGGGUGCGGAAGCGGAUCUUCUUGGCCGUCUCCACGUCAGAUUUGGCAACCAGAAAGCGCAUCUUCUUUCCUCCGUGUCGGAUCAGGUCCACAGCCCUGAAAGCCGGCCAGGGGAGACGCGUGGUGUGGCCGACUCGCCACGGGUCUAGCCGCGGGGCCCGGUACCCUGACGUCUGAAGACAGAGGGUACAUGGCCGGCCAGGGAACCGGCUGCCGCACGGGCCCUUCUCUCAAGGGCCACCGAGCUGCCCCACUGAGCCCGGUCCCGAGCUCGUGGCCGGCCCUGCCCUGCCCUGUCCCGCCCACCCGUGGUCUCCCAGUGACCGUGCAAGCCGUGGGCCUGCGUGGGGCGGUCCUGAGCAGGAGGAGCCCAGGGGGCCGCUCACCAUCCCGUCGAUCAGGCCCAUCCCCAGGCCAGAGGGACCCCGCUCCAGCUCUACCACGAACACGUAGCAGAAGUCCUCGGCGCUGGAGCUGCGGCUGGAGAGGGCUGGCGGGGGCUCAUCUGCCGGAGCCACGCCGUCUCCUGGGCAGGUCAGAUCAGGCCUUCAGGCAGAGCAUGUGGCUGCAGUCCCCUCACCAGCAAGCAGGUGCCCUGCCUCAGGCCCGGAUCUGCCCAGGUGACCCCUGGCCUUGGGGCACACCCAGAGUCUGCAGGGGCACUGCCGGGGGCGGCACUGCCGGGGGCGGCACUGCCGGGGGCUGCUCUGCCCUGCACUUCAUGGCCCCCCCGGCCCUCCCCCCAGCCUCCUACCUGGUGCACACCACCUGAGCCGUCCCUUCCUCCACCCUGGGGGGAGGGACUUCGUCCCACAGACGGCUGUGCGUGCACCCUGUGCCCUUCGACGGGGCCCUGAACCACCCUGCGCCCGCCUCACGUGGCCCCUGGAGCCUGCCCAGCACGGGCUACGGGUGUUCGUGGACAGGUACCAGAAGCCCAGGCCCAACGUGCCCCUAGGGCCACACGGUUGCAGUGACCCAAAGGGGCCCCGCCCAGGUGCUGGGGGGGGCGGAGGAGGGGGGACUGGGGGCUGUUUCGAGCCUGGGGACAGGUCUUACCUUCCCCAGCUGCACCUCGGGGGCCACUCUGCCCGCUCGGCCUCCCUUCCGGGAGCGCUUUCCCACAGGUGCCGCCGGGCUCUGGCCAGUCGGGGACAGCGGGCUCGAGGCCGAGCGGGGGUGCCGGGAGGCGUGAGCAGGCACGAGGAGUCCACGUGCAGGACGCCAGCCUGGGGGCCCCCGCGGCUCUGCCUUCCUGGAGGGCCCUGUGCGCGGGGAGCCCCCGCAGGAGGAGGAGGGCGCACCUGGCCGGCUUCACGAGCUCCCCUGGAAACCAGCGGGCAGCUGUGGCCCCCCGGGGGCCCUUCGGGGGUGUGCUGUGGGCCCUGGGGGUGGGGGUACAGGGACGAAGGCCUCAGAUUCCCAGCAGCCCGCCACAGUAGGAGACCCCAGGGGCCACCCCCGCCUCUGGGGACCCCCAGGCGCCGCAGAGGCAGCAGCCAGGCCCCGUGUUGGCUGCCCUCACCAGCCCCGUUGUCAAAGCCAGAGCAGCCCGGGUACCUCAAGGCACCCCGGCUGGGAAGGCCCGGCACCAGGGCUGGGUUUGCUCCGCAGGCUCCACAGGAAGUGGCGCAGGUACAGAAGCUGCUGGUAGACGCCGGCGUCCGGGCAGUCCGCUUCCAGAUUCACCUGGAAGCCCUCGCUCGGCAAAACGAUGGGCGGGGGGUUCUCGUAGGACUCCAGGACGUCCUCUGCCGACGGCGGGGAGGACGGUGUGACCGCGCUGGCCAAGAAGAAACGCCCGGCCCCUCCCCGGGCCCACCAGCCACCCCCCCUCCUGACACUGCAGGUACCGGGGACACGCGAGCGUGGGACUCGGGAGAAGGCAACCCGCCCCAACCACACUCUGGGCCCUUCUGCGUCCCAGUGAUUACCCAGGAAGAGGCCCGAGCUGCCUCACCCCCACUGCCCCGCCCCCAACUCCCCCUGCCUCUGUACCCCCCCCCCUGUCCUUCUGGUGCUCCCAAGGCCCGUGGUGACUGCAUCCCGCACGGUCCCCAGGACCCUGAGUCCCAGAACAUGGGCAUGCUCAGACGGCGGGAAGGCCAACACCUGCACCAGCUCUGAGCAGAGAGCCCACCCGGGGACAGGCCCCCAGGGGUAGUGAGGAGGGGCGCUAGGGGCCAGCGGGGCCCAGAGUCCUGCUCCAAGUGGUCCCUUCCACCGGCCAUGCCCUGGGCGACGGGGCACGGGAGAACCGAGCCCGAGGCCCUGUUUCUAGCCGUAUCUUCUAUCUUCUGUUAAUUGUCAUUACGUGCAUCAUGCUAACGACGAGACGUGCAUCUGUUCGUGAGUAACAUUACGUGCACGUACACGUACGCUGCGUGUGAACAGACAUGGGUGCGGGGCCUGCCCACCAUCUUGGCACUCCACGCCGAGACCCUGUUCUCCUCCUGGUGGGCUGUGUGUGCCAAGCAAGGCCCUGCCAUCAGUCCCCACGUUGGACGCUCCAGCAGCUUCCUGACCAAGGUUUCCCGAGGACCACUGCGGACCCCGCAGUCGGCGGGCCGGCCCACGCCGUCGCCCUCCACGGCGGGUAUCCCCGGCUUCUGGCGUUGCUCUUGAAAGUCGGAAACCACGCUGAGGGCUAGUCUUCGGGACGCAUCCACUCUUUAUUCUUGUGGGAAUUUCACGGGCUCCUCUGGCCCACGGUCUCCACACGGCAGCCCUGGGCUUCUCUGUGCAAGUGCAGCCACGGAACUGCUCAGCCAUCGGCCACGCUUGCCAGCACCUCGGGGCAGGUCCUAGAAUCCAGACUUCCUUCCCAGGGCUGUUCCUUGUCUGGGGCUGGUGUCAGGAGGGAGCCAGCCAUCAGGCCCAGAAGCCACCGGCAGGGACCCAGCACCCUCCCCUGUCCUUCAUACCAUCUGUCUGCUGUCUGGGAGUUUCCCGGACGGUCUUCCAGUCUUGCCACUGGACCCUUUCUCUUUACUCUCAGGGUUCGAAUUUCCAAAAAUCCUUUUGGUUCUCUUAUUUUUAGGAGAAUAUACAUUUUUAAGUUUUUUCUCCCGGAAAAGUUUUGCACGCUCAGAGUGGUGUUCACAUUUUUUAAAGGGCUUAACACAACGAAGAAUAAUUCUGGACGGCAACUGUACGUGCCCCACAAAGGCUACAUUAUCUACCCCCUGGCCCUUUACAGGGAAGUCUGUCCCCCCAGGAUCUGCGUCCUCCAACAUCCGGCUCUCGUGCGGGAAGCGAGCGGGUGCUCAGUCUGCCAGGCUGGCUCGUGGUGGGACAGAGGGCCACGUCCUCCGGCCUCUGCCUGGGUGUCACUGACGCCAGCGUUGUCCGGUCAGCCCCCUCUGACAAAGAGCACGGGGCCUCCCGCACGCAGCAGGCUCUCUGUCCUCCCUCAGAAGCCCUCCUUUUCAGGAUGACACUUCUGGUGUCAGGAUGACACCCUGUCUUAAAUGUUCCAGCAGUAAGCACAGGUGUUCGGCCAGCGCAGGGGGAGGGCCGGCCCGGCCGUGCGGGAAGGGGCCGCUGAGAUCCGAAGCGCACACAGAAACCGCACAGACGUGAAGCACGACAGCCUGUGUUCCCAGCGCAGGGCAAGAGCGGGGAGCGUGUGGCCGCGCGAGGAGGCCCCUGCCGGGCAGGCCUGUCCCCCGCCGCGGCCCCGCUCGGCCCGCUCUUGCGUUCCAGACCCCGGGAAUCACCACCUGUGCCCCUCUGGGCCCGACUGUGGCUCAGCCUCGUAUUUAACGUUGGCCUGGGCCUUCACGCUGCUGUGUGGAAUUGCGCUGCAAGGAAUUUUCUCGAUUUUUUCAAGAUUUCAAGUAUUUACUAUACGCGGGCCGAAGGCUCGAACUCACAACCCCAGGAUCAAGAGCCGCACGCUCCACGGACCUUCAGUCGCCGCCGGCCCUGUUCUCGAGGCUCCGCGUCUUCCGUGGGCAGUCACCCCCCGGCCUCCGCUUACCGGCCCCCGCGGUGUUUCUCCUCCCCGGGCCUGCUCGGUCCCUGUGGGCUUACGCUUUGCUUUUGUGGGGUGGUAUUUGGGGAGGAGGCCAAAAGCACAGGUUCAGGUUGCAAUCUGUAUGCAGAGGUCCCCGUUUUCUGCAUUGUCUCUAGUGAGUUCCUGCUGCACUUUUAGAAUUAAAAGAACAAAAUCAAGUAACUCAAAA